This 540-nucleotide ribosomal RNA is filed under the name Exophiala equina. RNAcentral describes it as "eukaryotic LSU rRNA". It matches the Rfam family "Eukaryotic large subunit ribosomal RNA", at positions 71 to 623 of the family's 3401-position model. The record is from RNAcentral. Lineage: Eukaryota; Fungi; Ascomycota; Eurotiomycetes; Chaetothyriales; Herpotrichiellaceae.
GGGAUUGCCUCAGUAACGGCGAGUGAAGCGGCAACAGCUCAAAUUUGAAAUCUGGCCUCUUUGGGGUCCGAGUUGUAAUUUGUAGAGGAUGUUUCGGGUACCGCCUCGGUUUAAAUUUCUUGGAACAGAAUGUCAAAGAGGGUGAGAAUCCCGUCUUGGACCGGCGGUAGGGCCCAUGUGAAACUCCUUCGACGAGUCGAGUUGUUUGGGAAUGCAGCUCAAAAUGGGUGGUAAAUUUCAUCUAAAGCUAAAUAUUGGCCAGAGACCGAUAGCGCACAAGUAGAGUGAUCGAAAGAUGAAAAGCACUUUGAAAAGAGAGUUAAACAGUAUGUGAAAUUGUUGAAAGGGAAGCGCUUACAACCAGACUUGCGCGCGGCGGUUCCCCCUUCCUUUUGGUUGGGCUACUCCGUCGUGUCCAGGCCAACAUCGGUUCUGGGGGUCGGUUAAAGACCCUGGGAAUGUAUCUACCCUUCGGGCGUAGACUUAUAGCUCAGGGUGUCAUGCGACCUCCCGGGACCGAGGAACGCGCUUCGGCUCGGA